GUGAUGGCAUUGGGGACACAUGACUAAAAUGGGAAUGAUACAGAGAAGAUUAGCAUGACCUCUGUGCAAGGAUGACAUUCACAAAAGCCUAAGUAAAAUGAAAUGAAU
Jaculus jaculus (lesser Egyptian jerboa) is the source of this 108-nucleotide small nuclear RNA. Lineage: Eukaryota; Metazoa; Chordata; Mammalia; Rodentia; Dipodidae. The record is from Ensembl.